GAGGGUAUAGCUCAGUGGUAGAGCACAUGCUUAGAAUGCAUGAAGUCCUGGGUUCAAUCCCCAGUACCUCCA
Transfer RNA from Camelus ferus (Wild Bactrian camel), 72 nucleotides. It matches the Rfam family "tRNA". From Rfam's summary of the family: Transfer RNA (tRNA) molecules are approximately 80 nucleotides in length. Their secondary structure includes four short double-helical elements and three loops (D, anti-codon, and T loops). NCBI's taxonomy places the organism in Eukaryota, Metazoa, Chordata, Mammalia, Artiodactyla, Camelidae. The record is from Rfam.